Molecule: long non-coding RNA, 281 nt
Organism: Apis mellifera (honey bee)
Lineage: Eukaryota; Metazoa; Arthropoda; Insecta; Hymenoptera; Apidae
Exons: 2
Source: RefSeq, a predicted model, not a curated record
CUUCUUCUCUAUUUCUUUUUUUUUCAAGUAGUGCAAACGAGCGUUCUAUCGUGAACCCUGAUUAUCUGUGCGUGGUUAAGUCACAGUGAAUUAGUUCGUUCCUUUAUUUUAUAUACACAAGGACGAUCAGGGUUAUCACUCAUUAUCUUAUAAUUCUCGGAUAAUUCGCUAAUGGGACAUGUACGCUGUCGAUCAGCUGGUACACAUUGUAUCGGUAUUCGAUUGUCAAUACAUAUGCAUAACAAAUAAAUGAUUAGUAACGCAUAAUCGAUAUUAUAUUA